UGGGCAAUGGCGGGCGCCCCUCCCCCCGCCUCGCUGCCGCCUUGCAGUUUGAUCUCAGACUGCUGUGCUAGCAAUCAGCGAGACUCCGUGGGCGUAGGACCCUCCGAGCCAGAUGUGCCUUGCUUCUCCUUCAUUUUCUGCCAUGACUGUAAGUUCCCUGAGGCCUUCCCAUCCAUGUGGAACUGCAUUCUAAUAUAUGCAUUCUUCAUAACAACUGUGUGAAACAUAUUAAUAUCCUCAUUGUUAACGAUGAAGAAACUAAAUCUCAGGAAGAAAAACUAAGUGAAGACAAAAGAAGGAUUUGAACUGAGAUUAUUCUGGGAGAUUCUGGGAGUCUUUUCUCCAACACUCCAGUGGCAUCUGACUAUGUGAGCUGAUAAGAUCUAUAGAUCUGUGAGUUGGCAGAGCUGUGAAAAGUUUCUCCCUUCUUAGGACAUAAGCAGGAAAUCUUGAUACAGGAAUCAAUAAGGGGAAAGAGAAAAUGUUUAUUAGAACAAAUUUAUUAUAU
RNAcentral lists this long non-coding RNA (508 nucleotides) under Homo sapiens (human). Its description in RNAcentral is "KCNMB2 antisense RNA 1". Lineage: Eukaryota; Metazoa; Chordata; Mammalia; Primates; Hominidae. The record is from RNAcentral.